Molecule: ribosomal RNA, 367 nt
Filed under: Tosapusia isaoi
Lineage: Eukaryota; Metazoa; Mollusca; Gastropoda; Neogastropoda; Costellariidae
Description: partial 12S ribosomal RNA
Source: RNAcentral
UCUUGGAAAUAAAAAGAAAAAUCUACCAGAGUACUAUGAAUCAAACAUUUAAAACUCAAAGGGCUUGGCGGUGCUUUAGACCUUUCAGGGGAACCUGUCUCAUAAUCGACAAUCCACGUUGCACCUGACCUUUUCUUGUAAACAAUUUGUAUACCGUCGUCGUCAGGUAACUUUUAAAAAUUUAGUAGUUAGCAGAUCAACUUUAAUAAGUUUAAACGUCAGAUCAAGGUGCAAUUAAUGAAAAGGUAGAGAUGGGUUACAGUUAUUUAUUAAUAAUACGGAAAAUUAGCUGAAACGCUGCUUAGAAGGAGGACUUGAAAGUAAAGAAUAUUUAUGUAUAUAUCUUGAAUGAGGCUCUGAAGCGUGC